CGGACGGGUGAGUAACGCGUGGGUAACCUGCCUUCAGUACAGGGGGAUAACAGUCGGAAACGAUUGCUAAAACCGCAUAAUAUAGCGAAACGCAUGAUUUUGCUAUCAAAUAUUUAUAGGUAUGAGAUGGGCCCGCGUCUGGAUUAGCUAGUUGGUGGGGUAAUGGCCUACCAAGGCGACGAUCAGUAGCCGGCUUGAGAGAGUGACCGGCCACAUUGGGACUGAGACACGGCCCAAACUCCUACGGGAGGGCAGCAGUGGGGAAUAUUGGACAAUGGGGGAAACCCUGAUCCAGCGAACCGCCGCGUGAGUGAAGAAGUAUUUCGGUAUGUAAAGCUCUAUCAGCAGGGAAGAUAAUGACAGUACCUGACUAAGAAGCCCCGGCUAACUACGUGCCAGCCGCAGC
RNAcentral lists this ribosomal RNA (406 nucleotides) under uncultured bacterium. RNAcentral's name for it is "bacterial SSU rRNA". It matches the Rfam family "Bacterial small subunit ribosomal RNA", at positions 99 to 518 of the family's 1533-position model. The record is from RNAcentral.